RNAcentral lists this ribosomal RNA (253 nucleotides) under uncultured prokaryote. RNAcentral describes it as "partial 16S ribosomal RNA". It matches the Rfam family "Bacterial small subunit ribosomal RNA", at positions 525 to 776 of the family's 1533-position model. The record is from RNAcentral.
ACGUAGGGAGCAAGCGUUGUUCGGAUUUACUGGGCGUAAAGGGCGCGUAGGCGGCGUGUCAAGUCGAUUGUGAAAUCUCCGGGCUUAACUCGGAGACGCCAUCUGAUACUGCCAUGGCUAGAGUCCGGUAGGGGAGUGCGGAAUUCCUGGUGUAGCGGUGAAAUGCACAGAUAUCAGGAGGAACACCGAUGGCGAAGGCAGCACUCUGGGCCGGUACUGACGCUGAGGAGCGAAAGCGUGGGUAGCAAACAGG